This 425-nucleotide ribosomal RNA is filed under the name uncultured bacterium. Its description in RNAcentral is "partial 16S ribosomal RNA". It matches the Rfam family "Bacterial small subunit ribosomal RNA", at positions 354 to 796 of the family's 1533-position model. The record is from RNAcentral.
GUGGGGAAUCUUGCGCAAUGGGCGAAAGCCUGACGCAGCCAUGCCGCGUGAAUGAUGAAGGUCUUAGGAUUGUAAAAUUCUUUCACCGGGGACGAUAAUGACGGUACCCGGAGAAGAAGCCCCGGCUAACUUCGUGCCAGCAGCCGCGGUAAUACGAAGGGGGCUAGCGUUGCUCGGAAUUACUGGGCGUAAAGGGCGCGUAGGCGGACAGUUAAGUUGGGGGUGAAAGCCCGGGGCUCAACCUCGGAACUGCCUUCAAUACUGGCUGUCUUGAGUAUGAGAGAGGUGUGUGGAACUCCGAGUGUAGAGGUGAAAUUCGUAGAUAUUCGGAAGAACACCAGUGACGAAGGCGACACACUGGCUCAUUACUGACGCUGAGGCGCGAAAGCGUGGGGAGCAAACAGGAUUAGAUACCCGUGUAGUCC